UACAAGUGGGUGCUUCUGUGCUGCCGCCUGCUCAUCCUAGAGGACAAAGCAAAGCAGGGCCACGCGUUGGGGUGAGCGCAGGUUUGGGCACUCGGAAGCCCUCCUUCGUCCCCACAACCAGAGGGAGGCCCAUAUCCCCUGCGGUGGCCCGGAGUGUAUCUGCGGUCUUUGAAAACUAGGAUCGGCAUAAAAUCAUCAUAGAAUCACCAAGGUUGGAAAAGACCUCCAAGAUCAUCCAGUCCAACCGUCCAUCAGUCACCAGUAUUGUCUGGAUGAAAGCGGAAAUUACUAUUUAAGAAGUAUCGUGAACUGUGUUGCAAUUCCUUCAACAAUUUCCAAGUAAUGUUUCUAGUCCCUUUUAUACCGAAUACAGCUUUGCCUGCAAGGUGGUAAUGGCAUAAAAACUUGACAAAACUUCAAUGACGUUUCAAUUAAUGCAUUGUUUAGGUGUAGUUAUGUUUCAUUUGAAGGUGGUGAAUAGAAACAUGAGUCCGCACACAGAAGACACGUAUGACUCUUGCAUAGCAAAUUAAGGUCAGAAUGUGAGUAUAGGAAUGUUUUUUAUUUUUGAGACCUGAAAAGAUAGUUGUCAGGUGGCUAAGCAUAGUUCAGCUGAAUGCUUUAUCUUGUGUAACAAUAAGAAUAGCACAUAAAUAUCAAAAUAUUUCCAGAUAUAAGAAUAUUUUAAGGUGAAAACAAUCCCCCAAAAUUAAUUUUAAAGAUUCAAUAUUAAUGACAGAAUGAAAACAAUGAUACUAAUAAUAGAUCUUAAAAAUACUAACAUUCUGCAUGGCUCUGCACUACAGCCUUGAUUUGAGACACUGAAAAUGGGCUUACCCAUUCAACUGUGUUGAUUAAUAUGUGUUUUUAAAGUUUCAGUAGUCUGAUACCUUUAUCUUAAUUUAUUCUAAAAAUGAGAGUCAGCUCAUCGAGUCUAUGGAGACAUUUCUGGGUAUUAAAGUUUAUGGAUGACUAGCUGUAUGUACAAUAUUGUCAUAUUGCAGCCUUACCACUUAACAGAGUAUCUCUUAUAACUUAAAAAUGAAUCGAUCCUGUUUCCUUAAUGUAAUGGAUGGUGUAAUAACAUUGAAAUUCUCAUAUAUUGUAAUCUGUGUGGUACACUGAUAUGAAGUAUGGACAAAAUCUUCCUAAGUAUAUUUUAAUGUAUGAUGAUUACUGAGACUAGGCAGGCCAGAGCAGUAAUGCUUUUAUCUUUGUUGAGUUUUGUGUUGAUGUAUCCACAGUAAAA
This 1249-nucleotide long non-coding RNA is filed under the name Gallus gallus (chicken). RNAcentral's name for it is "lncRNA (ENSGALG00010011324.1)". Lineage: Eukaryota; Metazoa; Chordata; Aves; Galliformes; Phasianidae. The record is from RNAcentral.